CAGCUCUCCGAGUGGUAGGGACGAUUAUUGGGCUUAAAGCGUCCGUAGCCGGCCCGGCAAGUCUUCCGUUAAAUCCAACGAUUCAAUCGUUGGACUGCGGGAGAUACUGUUGGGCUAGGAGGCGGGAGAGGCCGACGGUAUUCUCGGGGUAGGGGUAAAAUCCUAUAAUCCCGGGAAGACCACCAGUGGCGAAGGCGGUCGGCUAGGACGCGCUCGACGGUGAGGGACGAAAGCUGGGGGAGCGAACCGGAUUAGAUACCCGGGUAGUCCCAGCUGUAAACGAUGCGGGCUAGGUGUUGGAGCGGCUACGGGCCGCUUCAGUGCCGCAGGGAAACCAUUAAGCCCGCCGCCUGGGGAGUACGGCCGCAAGGCUGAAACUUAAAGGAAUUGGCGGGGGAGCACCACAAGGGGUGAAGCUUGCGGUUUAAUUGGAGUCAACGCCGGAAAACUUACCGGGGGCGACAGCAGGAUGAAGGCCAGAUUGAAGGUCUUGCUGGACGAGCUGAGAGGAGGUGCAUGGCCGUCGCCAGUUCGUGCCGUGAGGUGUCCUGUUAAGUCAGGCAACGAUCGAGACCCACGCCCCCUGUUGCCACCGAGGAGGUUUCUCCAAGGGGCACUCUGGGGGGACUGCCGUCGAUAAGGCGGAGGAAGGAGUGGGCCACGGCAGGUCAGUAUGCCCCGAAUCCCCCGGGCCACACGCGAGCUGCAAUGGCUGGGACAGUGGGUUCCGACCUCGAAAGGGGGAGGUAAUCCCUAAACCCAGCCGUAGUUGGGAUCGAGGGCUGAAACUCGCCCUCGUGAACAUGGAAUCCCUAGUAAUCGCGCGUCAUCAUCGCGCGGUGAAUACGUCCCCGCUCCUU
Molecule: ribosomal RNA, 860 nt
Filed under: uncultured organism
Description: bacterial SSU rRNA
Rfam family: Archaeal small subunit ribosomal RNA
Source: RNAcentral